GUUGAAUGAAGAGUACAGAUGUGUGCAGC
Molecule: non-coding RNA, 29 nt
Filed under: Homo sapiens (human)
Lineage: Eukaryota; Metazoa; Chordata; Mammalia; Primates; Hominidae
Source: RNAcentral